AUGCCAAAAGAGAGAGGAGGAAUGGGCUUUCGUGGUGUGAAUAGUUUUGCUUUGGAUAUGUUGGCCAAACAAUGUUGGAGGCUUACUAAGAAUUAUAGAUCCUUGUGUGCUAGACUGUUGAGUGCUAGAUACUAACCAUCAUGUGAUAUACUUAACUGUGAGUUGAAGAAGGGGUCCUCUUAUGUGUGGCAAAGCAUAUAGUCUGAUAUCCAAACUUUCAAAAAAGGUUGUAUCUGGAGAGUGAGAGAUGGAGCAAAGAUUAACAUCUGUAAUGACUAUUGGAUAACAAAUAGUGCCUCAAGAAAAAUGUUACAACUCAUGGAAACCAAGUUCUGA
RNAcentral lists this ribosomal RNA (336 nucleotides) under Triticum aestivum (bread wheat). RNAcentral's name for it is "partial small subunit ribosomal RNA". The record is from RNAcentral. Lineage: Eukaryota; Viridiplantae; Streptophyta; Magnoliopsida; Poales; Poaceae.